CCUACGGGGGGCAGCAGUGAGGAAUAUUGGUCAAUGGACGAGAGUCUGAACCAGCCAAGUAGCGUGAAGGAUGACUGCCCUAUGGGUUGUAAACUUCUUUUAUAAAGGAAUAAAACGAGGCACGUGUGCCUUUUUGCAUGUACUUUAUGAAUAAGGAUCGGCUAACUCCGUGCCAGCAGCCGCGGUAAUACGGAGGAUCCGAGCGUUAUCCGGAUUUAUUGGGUUUAAAGGGAGCGUAGAUGGGUUGUUAAGUCAGUUGUAAAAGUUUGCGGCUCAACCGUAAAAUUGCAAUUGAUACUGGCAGUCUUGAGUACAGAUGAGGUAGGCGGAAUUCGUGGUGUAGCGGUGAAAUGCUUAGAUAUCACGAAGAACCCCGAUUGCGAAGGCAGCUUACUAAACUGUGACUGACAUUGAUGCUCGAAAGUGUGGGUAUCAAACAGGAUUAGAUACCCUAGUAGUC
RNAcentral lists this ribosomal RNA (460 nucleotides) under uncultured bacterium. RNAcentral's name for it is "partial 16S ribosomal RNA". It matches the Rfam family "Bacterial small subunit ribosomal RNA", at positions 338 to 795 of the family's 1533-position model. The record is from RNAcentral.